GACGAACGCUGGCGGCGUGCCUAAUACAUGCAAGUUGAGCGCUGAAGGUUGGUACUUGUACCGACUGGAUGAGCAGCGAACGGGUGAGUAACGCGUGGGGAAUCUGCCUUUGAGCGGGGGACAACAUUUGGAAACGAAUGCUAAUACCGCAUAAAAACUUUAAACACAAGUUUUAAGUUUGAAAGAUGCAAUUGCAUCACUCAAAGAUGAUCCCGCGUUGUAUUAGCUAGUUGGUGAGGUAAAGGCUCACCACGGCGAUGAUACAUAGCCGAGCUGAGAGGGUGAUCGGCCACAUUGGGACUGAGACACGGCCCAAACUCCUACGGGAGGCAGCAGUAGGGAAUCUUCGGCAAUGGACGAAAGUCUGACCGAGCAACGCCGCGUGAGUGAAGAAGGUUUUCGGAUCGUAAAACUCUGUUGGUAGAGAAGAACGUUGGUGAGAGUGGAAAGCUCAUCAAGUGACGGUAACUACCCAGAAAGGGACGGCUAACUACGUGCCAGCAGCCGCAGUAA
Molecule: ribosomal RNA, 513 nt
Filed under: uncultured bacterium
Lineage: Bacteria
Description: partial 16S ribosomal RNA
Rfam family: Bacterial small subunit ribosomal RNA
Source: RNAcentral